CCUACGGGAGGCAGCAGUGGGGGAUAUUGGACAAUGGGGGAAACCCUGAUCCAGCGACGCCGCGUGAGUGAAGAAGGAUUUCGGGAUGUAAAGCUCUGUCAGCAGGGAAGAAAGAAAUGACGGUACCUGACCAAGAAGCCCCAGCUAACUACGUGCCAGCAGCCGCGGUAGUACGUAGGGGGCAAGCGUUAUCCGGAAUUACUGGGGGUAAAGGGAGCGUAGAGGGUGAUGCAAGGUUGGAGUGAAAGGCGGGGGCCCAACCCCCGGACUGCUCUGGAAACUGUGUAACUUGAGUGCAGGAGAGGUAAGCGGAAUUCCUAGUGUAGCGGUGAAAUGCGUAGAUAUUAGGAGGAACACCAGUGGCGAAGGCGGCUUACUGGACUGUAACUGACGUUGAGGCUCGAAAGCGUGGGGAGCAAACAGGAUUAGAUACCCUGGUAGUC
This 443-nucleotide ribosomal RNA is filed under the name uncultured bacterium. Its description in RNAcentral is "partial 16S ribosomal RNA". It matches the Rfam family "Bacterial small subunit ribosomal RNA", at positions 338 to 795 of the family's 1533-position model. The record is from RNAcentral.